CCUGGUUCAAAAUGCUGAGUCCACAACAGAAGUGGAAAAUGGAUGGGACAGUGACAUGUCAUCCAUUUUGGUUCUUGUCCACCUUUUGCCACCGUCACCUCAUGGCCACAAGUGACCAGGAAAGCUCUCAGCCAAACAAGCCAGUGACCAUCUUGUGAAGUUCAUCAAGACUGGGACCAGUGUCCAAGGGCAUCUGGCCAGUAUCAUGGAACAUCUUCAACCCUAUCUGCUUGCUGUGGGGACCAAGAGGAGUGUGAUUCACACAUAUUUCAUUGUGAUUGACAAACAUGCAAUGCCAUAAGAAUACGCACCUUCAGCAGACCUGGGAUCCAGUCAUCUCUACACCCAGUCCCCUGCCUACCUCCAACCCGGUUUCCCUCGCCAUCUUCACUGCCAGUCUCCAACCCACUACACCCCAGAUUUC
Long non-coding RNA from Perca fluviatilis (European perch), 424 nucleotides. RefSeq lists it as uncharacterized. The record is from RefSeq and is a predicted model, not a curated record. NCBI's taxonomy places the organism in Eukaryota, Metazoa, Chordata, Actinopteri, Perciformes, Percidae. The transcript has 4 exons.